RNAcentral lists this unclassified non-coding RNA (153 nucleotides) under soil metagenome. Its description in RNAcentral is "partial internal transcribed spacer 1". The record is from RNAcentral.
UAAUAAGUGUUUUAUGGCACUUUUUUAAAUCCAUAUCCACCUUGUGUGCAACGUCGGUCGAUCUUCUUUUUUUUGAGGAUCGACCAAAACAUCAGCCUUUUAUUUUUUAACUCUUUGUCUGAAAAAAUAUUAUGAAUAAACAAUUCAAAAUAC